CCUACGGGCGGCUGCAGUGGGGAAUAUUGCACAAUGGGCGCAAGCCUGAUGCAGCCAUGCCGCGUGUGUGAAGAAGGCCUUCGGGUUGUAAAGCACUUUCAGCGGGGAGGAAGGCGUUAAGGUUAAUAACCUUGUCGAUCGACGUUACCCGCAGAAGAAGCACCGGCUAACUCCGUGCCAGCAGCCGCGGUAAUACGGAGGGUGCAAGCGUUAAUCGGAAUUACUGGGCGUAAAGCGCACGCAGGCGGUCUGUCAAGUCGGAUGUGAAAUCCCCGGGCUCAACCUGGGAACUGCAUUCGAAACUGGCAGGCUAGAGUCUUGUAGAGGGGGGUAGAAUUCCAGGUGUAGCGGUGAAAUGCGUAGAGAUCUGGAGGAAUACCGGUGGCGAAGGCGGCCCCCUGGACAAAGACUGACGCUCAGGUGCGAAAGCGUGGGGAGCAAACAGGAUUAGAUACCCCAGUAGUC
Molecule: ribosomal RNA, 465 nt
Filed under: uncultured Klebsiella sp.
Lineage: Bacteria; Pseudomonadati; Pseudomonadota; Gammaproteobacteria; Enterobacterales; Enterobacteriaceae
Description: bacterial SSU rRNA
Rfam family: Bacterial small subunit ribosomal RNA
Source: RNAcentral